RNAcentral lists this small RNA (79 nucleotides) under Mytilus galloprovincialis (Mediterranean mussel). Lineage: Eukaryota; Metazoa; Mollusca; Bivalvia; Mytilida; Mytilidae. The record is from RNAcentral.
CUCGUCUCGGAUUUUUUCCCCUAUACCUUUAUAUGUUAUAUAAAGGUAUAUAAGAGGGGAAAAAAUCUGAGACGAGAGC